Molecule: ribosomal RNA, 437 nt
Filed under: uncultured Planctomycetota bacterium
Lineage: Bacteria; Pseudomonadati; Planctomycetota
Description: bacterial SSU rRNA
Rfam family: Bacterial small subunit ribosomal RNA
Source: RNAcentral
GUGACGAAGCGACGCCGCGUGUGGGAAGAAGGCCUUCGGGUUGUAAACCACUGUUGGGAGUUAGGAAGUGUGGAGGUGUUAAUAGCGCUUUCACUUGACUAAAGCUCCAGAGGAAGCCACGGCUAACUCUGUGCCAGCAGCCGCGGUAAUACAGAGGCGGCAAGCGUUGUUCGGAAUUAUUGGGCGUAAAGAGCACGUAGGCGGCUCUGCAAGUCAGCUGUGAAAGCCUUCUGCUUAACGGAAGAACGGCAGUUGAAACUACAGGGCUUGAGUGCGGGAGGGGAGAGUGGAACUUCUGGUGGAGCGGUGAAAUGCGUAGAUAUCAGAAGGAACGCCGGCGGCGAAAGCGGCUCUCUGGUCCGUAACUGACGCUGAGUGUGCGAAAGCUAGGGGAGCAAACGGGAUUAGAUACCCCGGUAGUCCUAGCCGUAAACGAU